Molecule: ribosomal RNA, 429 nt
Filed under: uncultured bacterium
Lineage: Bacteria
Description: bacterial SSU rRNA
Rfam family: Bacterial small subunit ribosomal RNA
Source: RNAcentral
UGGGGAAUUUUGCGCAAUGGGGGAAACCCUGACGCAGCAACGCCGCGUGGGUGAUGAAGGCCCUUGGGUCGUAAAGCCCUGUCGGGUGGGAAGAAGCCCUCGGCGGUAAAUAAUCGCCGAGGAUGACGGUACCACUAGAGGAAGCACCGGCUAACUCUGUGCCAGCAGCCGCGGUAAUACAGAGGGUGCAAGCGUUGUUCGGAAUCACUGGGCGUAAAGCGCGUGUAGGCGGCUGGUUGUGUCGAAUGUGAAAGCCCUCGGCUUAACCGAGGAAGUGCGUUCGAAACUGACUAGCUUGAGUACCGGAGAGGAAGGUGGAAUUCCCGGUGUAGAGGUGAAAUUCGUAGAUAUCGGGAGGAACACCAGUGGCGAAAGCGACCUUCUGGACGGAUACUGACGCUGAGACGCGAAAGCGUGGGGAGCAAACAG